Molecule: ribosomal RNA, 503 nt
Filed under: uncultured bacterium
Lineage: Bacteria
Description: bacterial SSU rRNA
Rfam family: Bacterial small subunit ribosomal RNA
Source: RNAcentral
GAUGAACGCUAGCUACAGGCUUAACACAUGCAAGUCGAGGGGAAACGACAUCGAAAGCUUGCUUUUGAUGGGCGUCGACCGGCGCACGGGUGAGUAACGCGUAUCCAACCUGCCCAUCACUUGGGGAUAACCUUGCGAAAGUAAGACUAAUACCCAAUGACGUCUCUAGAAGACAUCUGAAAGAGAUUAAAGAUUUAUCGGUGAUGGAUGGGGAUGCGUCUGAUUAGCUUGUUGGCGGGGUAACGGCCCACCAAGGCGACGAUCAGUAGGGGUUCUGAGAGGAAGGUCCCCCCACAUUGGAACUGAGACACGGUCCAAACUCCUACGGGAGGCAGCAGUGAGGAAUAUUGGUCAAUGGGCGAGAGCCUGAACCAGCCAAGUAGCGUGCAGGACGACGGCCCUAUGGGUUGUAAACUGCUUUUAUGCGGGGAUAAAGUGUGGGACGUGUCCCAUAUUGCAGGUACUGCAUGAAUAAGGACCGGCUAAUUCCGUGCCAGCAGCCG